This is a long non-coding RNA of Crotalus tigris (Tiger rattlesnake), 889 nucleotides long. RefSeq lists it as uncharacterized. The transcript has 2 exons. The record is from RefSeq and is a predicted model, not a curated record. NCBI's taxonomy places the organism in Eukaryota, Metazoa, Chordata, Lepidosauria, Squamata, Viperidae.
GGAAACUAAGUUUGCACAUUUCCCUUGCUAACUAUCUCUGGAAAUUGCCUAUUAACUACAUCAAAGAAGUUAGACAUCUUCAGAGUGUCAAGAUUACAAUUGCUGGGUCAUGAAGUGCUAAAAAGUCAAUUCCAUUGGAUUUGCCCUGCUAACAUAUAAAGCUUGGGAUGUAGUAAAGAAAAUAAUAAUGCACAGUUGGAAAGAAACUACAGUCUCACUUGAACAAUCUCGGAUUGAAGAAAUGUGUUCACUUUCAUCCUUUCAAUUAAUCCUUUAUAGAUAUAAUGCAAAGAUGGAUCAAUAUGACUCCUUGUGGUAAAUGUUCGAUCUGUGAGCCACUUUACAUUAUGAUUCUACUUGAUACUCAGAUUGUAAAGUAAUUUGUUAUGUUUUAGUUCUGUUAUUUUCUUUUUUUAAACUUUUUUACCUAUUUCUUUUACAUUAGCACAUCACACAGUAAAAUAUUACUAAAAGGUAUUAAGAAAUGAAGCCUUUGAGCCAAUAAUCAGAAGUCUCCUCAAGAUGACAAUAACAUACAGCUUCACAACAUGUGAAAUAGGAGAGGUUGUGAAUAUCCCAACCCAGUGGCUGGCUACAAUAAUGGAGAAGAUGAGGAACAGUAAACUAAAUGUGCAUCCUGGAAGUUGGAGACUGUGUGGGAUGAAGUGGCUUUUCAUCUCAAAUCAUGUAAUAAUGUUUAUUCUUAAUUCCAUUUAUGCAUCUGUUAGACAUCCCUCUUUUUUCCCAGGCCAAGCCUAUAUGAAUGUUGUAUGUAUUGUUUUGAGUUAGGUUUGUUUGGUUUUGUUUCUUCAUUUUUGUACUAUUUUCAUCUGCCUUUUUAAGUUGACUAUAACCCACUUUAAGAUUUGAAUUAAAAGGAAUCACUGUA